UUUUCAUUUUAUAAUUUAAUAUUAAAUACAUCUGAUAUAUAGUAAUUACAUUGUAUCUAAAAGGAAUUUAGCCUCAGAUAUACAUUGAUAAGAUAACUAUGAUUUUUUAAUUUAUUCAUGUACCUGUUUGUACGUUAAUGACACUACAUCAUACUCCUGUAAAGUCUGGUGUGUAUAAAUAUACAUGUUUAUUGACUCCACAUGUUAAAAAUUGUAAUAUUUUGUAUUCAAUGUAUGAAUACCAAGCUGCAUUUCAAAAUAAAAAUAUAUAUCUAUCUGUAUAAUCAUUAGAGAUUUUGAACACAUUGAUAAUAUAACCUGGAUUUUUUUCUGCGUUGAUAUACAGGUCUGUAGUAAAUGUUUAUUACCAUUUGGAAAACAACCUAUAUCUAUUGCGCAAUGGCAUUGAAUUGAACACUAGGUGCUGGAAAUCUUGUUUGUUUCCAUUUCCGAUAACAGUAGACUGCCAAACAACAACCCACAAGCAUGCAACCUGCUAAUGUUGCUACAAUUAUCAGUACAGUUGUAUUA
This 531-nucleotide long non-coding RNA is filed under the name Mytilus galloprovincialis (Mediterranean mussel). Lineage: Eukaryota; Metazoa; Mollusca; Bivalvia; Mytilida; Mytilidae. The record is from RNAcentral.